RNAcentral lists this ribosomal RNA (32 nucleotides) under Mucor circinelloides. Its description in RNAcentral is "partial 18S ribosomal RNA". The record is from RNAcentral. Lineage: Eukaryota; Fungi; Mucoromycota; Mucoromycetes; Mucorales; Mucoraceae.
UCCGUUAGGGGUGACCUGCGGAAGGAUCAUUA